GGAAGGAUCAUUACCGAAUUGUCAACAUGAAGUUGUUGCUGGCCCUCAAAUGGGGGCAUGUGCACACUCUGUUUACACAUCCACUCACACCUGUGCACUCUCUGUAGUACUGUGGUCUGGGGGUUCCGUCCUCCUACUGUGGUUCUGCAUAUUUAUACACACACACUGUAAUAAAGUCUCAUGGAAUGUAUACCGCGUUUAACGCAAUGAAAUACAACUUUCAGCAACGGAUCUCUUGGCUCUCGCAUCGAUGAAGAACGCAGCGAAAUGCGAUAAGUAAUGUGAAUUGCAGAAUUCAGUGAAUCAUCGAAUCUUUGAACGCACCUUGCGCCCUUUGGCUAUUCCGAAGGGCAUGCCUGUUUGAGUAUCAUGAACACCUCAACUCUCAUGGCUUGCCAUGAUGAGCUUGGACUUGGGGGUUUUGCUGGCCUACAGUCAGCUCCCCUCAAAUGCAUCAGCUUUCCAGUGUUUGGUGGCACCACAGGUGUGAUAAACAUCUACACGUGUGGUUCCCCACCAUGUAACCUUCAGUGAUGGAGGUUUGCUGGAGCUCACAAAUGUCUUUCCUCAGUGAAGACAGUUCUUUGAUUGUUUGAUCUCAAAUCAGGUAGGACUACCCGCUGAACUUAAGCAUAUCAAUAAG
Molecule: small RNA, 643 nt
Filed under: uncultured fungus
Lineage: Eukaryota; Fungi
Description: eukaryotic LSU rRNA
Rfam family: 5.8S ribosomal RNA (bases 216-370)
Source: RNAcentral